GGCACUGCAUCUCAGUGCAAGAGAUGUCACUACAGUCCCUGGUUCGAAUCCAGGCAGUACCA
Molecule: transfer RNA, 62 nt
Filed under: Salmo salar (Atlantic salmon)
Lineage: Eukaryota; Metazoa; Chordata; Actinopteri; Salmoniformes; Salmonidae
Source: Rfam by way of RNAcentral